GACGAACCGUGCGAACGUUGUUCGGAAUCACUGGGCUUAAAGGGCGCGUAGGCGGGUGUGCAAGUCUGUGGUGAAAGCCUCCAGCUUAACUGGAGAAGUGCCAUGGAUACUGCACAUCUUGAGGAGGGUAGGGGCAUCUGGAACGGUCGGUGGAGCGGUGAAAUGCGUUGAUAUCGACCGGAACUCCGGUGGCGAAGGCGGGAUCCUGGGCCAGUACUGACGCUGAGGAGCGAAAGCGUGGGGAGCAAACAGG
RNAcentral lists this ribosomal RNA (253 nucleotides) under uncultured bacterium. Its description in RNAcentral is "partial 16S ribosomal RNA". It matches the Rfam family "Bacterial small subunit ribosomal RNA", at positions 524 to 776 of the family's 1533-position model. The record is from RNAcentral.